This 418-nucleotide ribosomal RNA is filed under the name Staphylococcus aureus. Its description in RNAcentral is "partial 23S ribosomal RNA". It matches the Rfam family "Bacterial large subunit ribosomal RNA", at positions 12 to 423 of the family's 2925-position model. Lineage: Bacteria; Bacillati; Bacillota; Bacilli; Caryophanales; Staphylococcaceae. The record is from RNAcentral.
UAAGGGCGCACGGUGGAUGCCUUGGCACUAGAAGCCGAUGAAGGACGUUACUAACGACGAUAUGCUUUGGGGAGCUGUAAGUAAGCUUUGAUCCAGAGAUUUCCGAAUGGGGAAACCCAGCAUGAGUUAUGUCAUGUUAUCGAUAUGUGAAUACAUAGCAUAUCAGAAGGCACACCCGGAGAACUGAAACAUCUUAGUACCCGGAGGAAGAGAAAGAAAAUUCGAUUCCCUUAGUAGCGGCGAGCGAAACGGGAAGAGCCCAAACCAACAAGCUUGCUUGUUGGGGUUGUAGGACACUCUAUACGGAGUUACAAAGGACGACAUUAGACGAAUCAUCUGGAAAGAUGAAUCAAAGAAGGUAAUAAUCCUGUAGUCGAAAAUGUUGUCUCUCUUGAGUGGAUCCUGAGUACGACGGAGC